GCGUGAGUGACGACGGCCUUAGGGUUGUAAAGCUCUUUUGGCGGGGACGAUAAUGACGGUACCCGCAGAAUAAGCCCCGGCUAACUUCGUGCCAGCAGCCGCGGUAAUACGAAGGGGGCUAGCGUUGUUCGGAAUCACUGGGCGUAAAGCGCACGUAGGCGGACUGGUCAGUUGGGGGUGAAAUCCCGGGGCUCAACCUCGGAACUGCCUUCAAUACUGCCAGUCUCGAGUCCGGAAGAGGUGAGUGGAAUUCCUAGUGUAGAGGUGAAAUUCGU
RNAcentral lists this ribosomal RNA (275 nucleotides) under uncultured bacterium. Its description in RNAcentral is "partial 16S ribosomal RNA". It matches the Rfam family "Bacterial small subunit ribosomal RNA", at positions 399 to 691 of the family's 1533-position model. The record is from RNAcentral.